This 325-nucleotide ribosomal RNA is filed under the name uncultured Bacillota bacterium. RNAcentral describes it as "bacterial SSU rRNA". It matches the Rfam family "Bacterial small subunit ribosomal RNA", at positions 28 to 351 of the family's 1533-position model. Lineage: Bacteria; Bacillati; Bacillota. The record is from RNAcentral.
GACGAACGCUGGCGGCAUGCCUAACACAUGCAAGUCGAGCGAGGUGAUUCUUUCGGGAUGAACCUAGCGGCGGACGGGUGAGUAACACGUGGGCAACCUGCCUCAUAGAGGGGAAUAGCCUUCCGAAAGGAAGAUUAAUACCGCAUAACAUUGCAUUUUCGCAUGAAGAAGCAAUUAAAGGAGAAAUCCGCUAUGAGAUGGGCCCGCGGCGCAUUAGCUAGUUGGUGAGGUAACGGGCUCACCAAGGCGACGAUGCGUAGCCGACCUGAGAGGGUGAUCGGCCACAUUGGGACUGAGACACGGCCCAGACUCCUACGGGUGGCUG